Molecule: ribosomal RNA, 791 nt
Filed under: uncultured archaeon
Lineage: Archaea
Description: bacterial SSU rRNA
Rfam family: Archaeal small subunit ribosomal RNA
Source: RNAcentral
ACUGCUCAGUAACACGUAGUCAACAUGCCCAGGGGACGUGGAUAACCUCGGGAAACUGAGGAUAAACCGCGAUAGGCCAAGAUUUCUGGAAUGAAUCAUGGUUCAAAUCUAUAUGGCCCCUGGAUUGGACUGCGGCCGAUCAGGCUGUUGGUGAGGUAAUGGCCCACCAAACCUGUAACCGGUACGGGCUCUGAGAGGAGGAGCCCGGAGAUGGGCACUUAGACAAGGGCCCAGGCCCUAUGGGGCGCAGCAGGCGCGAAACCUCUGCAAUAAGCGAAAGCUUGACAGGGUUACUCUGAGUGAUUUCCGCUAAGGAAGUCUUUUGGCACCUCUAAAAAUGGUGCAGAAUAAGGGGUGGGCAAGUCUGGUGUCAGCCGCCGCGAUAAUACCAGCACCCCGAGUGGUCGGGACGAUUAUUGGGCCUAAAGCAUCCGUAGCCGGUCCUGCAAGUCCUCCGUUAAAUCCACCCGCUCAACGGUUGGGCCGCGGGGGAUACUACAGGGCUAGGAGGCGGGAGAGGCAAGCGGUACUCGAUGGGUAGGGGUAAAAUCCACUGAUCCAUUGAAGACCACCAGUGGCGAAGGCGGCUUGCCAGAACGCGCUCGACGGUGAGGGAUGAAAGCUGGGGGAGCAAACCGGAUUAGAUACCCGGGUAGUCCCAGCUGUAAACGAUGCAGACUCGGUGAUGGGCUGGCUUCGUGCCAACCCGGUGCCGCAGGGAAGCCGUUAAGUCUGCCGCCUGGGGGAGUACGGUCGCAAGACUGAAACUUAAAGGAAUUGGCGGGGGAGCA